GCUGGAGGACCAGGAAGGCUGAGUAUGAGGAAGCAAGACUCUGCCGACCCACCUCUCCUAGACAAAGGGUGGAGAGCGCAGCUCUUAGGAGAAAGCCAGGACUGGCUGUCCUACCCACAUUC
Peromyscus maniculatus bairdii (prairie deer mouse) is the source of this 122-nucleotide non-coding RNA. RefSeq annotates it as small Cajal body-specific RNA 4. Lineage: Eukaryota; Metazoa; Chordata; Mammalia; Rodentia; Cricetidae. The record is from RefSeq and is a predicted model, not a curated record.